AGUCACUGACAUUAGAUACCCCGGUAGUCCCAGCCGUAAACAAUGUGCGUUAGGUGUGUCGGUAACCACGCGUUACUGAUGCGCCGAAGAGAAAUCGUGAAACGCACCACCUGGGAAGUACGGUCGCAAGGCUGAAACUUAAAGGAAUUGGCGGGGAGCACCACAACAGGUGGAGCCUGCGGUUUAAUUGGAUUCAACGCCGGACAUCUCACCGGAUAAGACAGCUGAAUGAUCGUCAAUCUGAAGGUUUUACAUGACUAGCUG
Molecule: ribosomal RNA, 264 nt
Filed under: uncultured archaeon
Lineage: Archaea
Description: partial 16S ribosomal RNA
Rfam family: Archaeal small subunit ribosomal RNA
Source: RNAcentral